RNAcentral lists this transfer RNA (73 nucleotides) under Treponema sp. RNAcentral's name for it is "tRNA-Phe". It matches the Rfam family "tRNA". From Rfam's summary of the family: Transfer RNA (tRNA) molecules are approximately 80 nucleotides in length. Their secondary structure includes four short double-helical elements and three loops (D, anti-codon, and T loops). Further hydrogen bonds mediate the characteristic L-shaped molecular structure. tRNAs have two regions of fundamental functional importance: the anti-codon, which is responsible for specific mRNA codon recognition, and the 3' end, to which the tRNAs corresponding amino acid is attached (by aminoacyl-tRNA synthetases). tRNAs cope with the degeneracy of the genetic code in two manners: having more than one tRNA (with a specific anti-codon) for a particular amino acid; and 'wobble' base-pairing, i.e. permitting non-standard base-pairing at the 3rd anti-codon position. Lineage: Bacteria; Pseudomonadati; Spirochaetota; Spirochaetia; Treponematales; Treponemataceae. RNAcentral also lists the same sequence under 2 other names. The record is from RNAcentral.
GCCGCUGUAGCUCAGUUGGUAGAGCAACGGACUGAAAAUCCGUGUGUCAUCAGUUCAAUUCUGAUCGGCGGCA